RNAcentral lists this ribosomal RNA (253 nucleotides) under uncultured bacterium. RNAcentral's name for it is "partial 16S ribosomal RNA". It matches the Rfam family "Bacterial small subunit ribosomal RNA", at positions 524 to 776 of the family's 1533-position model. The record is from RNAcentral.
UACGAAGGGUGCUAGCGUUGUUCGGAAUUACUGGGCGUAAAGAGCUCGUAGGCGGUUUGUCGCGUCUGCCGUGAAAGUCCGGGGCUCAACUCCGGAUCUGCGGUGGGUACGGGCAGACUAGAGUGAUGUAGGGGAGACUGGAAUUCCUGGUGUAGCGGUGAAAUGCGCAGAUAUCAGGAGGAACACCGAUGGCGAAGGCAGGUCUCUGGGCAUUAACUGACGCUGAGGAGCGAAAGCAUGGGGAGCGAACAGG